UGCCCUUUGCCAUGUCAUGCUUCAUUAAACCGGACAUGCAUCAUACUUGGUUGUGCAUCAUGUCAUGCUUAUGUGGUGGUUGUUUACUAUGUUGUUUGCUCCUUUCCGGUGUUGCUUCUUCGGGUUGGUUCCGAUAACGUCGUGUUGUGAGGAUUCGUUUGUCUACGUCCGCUUUGUCUUCUUCAUGGACUCGUUCUUCUUCCUUGCGGGAUCUCAGGCAAGAUGACCAUACUCUCGAAAUCACUUCUAUCUUUGCUUGCUAGUUGCUCGCUCUAUUGCUAUGCCUAUGCUGCGAUACCUACCACUUGUUUAUCAUGCCUCCCAUAUUGUUGAACCAAGCCUCUAACCCACCUUGUCCUAGCAAACUGUUGUUUGGCUAUGUUACCACUUUGCUCAGCCCCUCUUAUAGCGUUGUUAGUUGUAGGUAAAGAUUGGAGCUUGUUCCAUGUUUGGAACAUGUUUACUUGUUGGGAUAUCACAAUAUCUCUUAUUUAAUUAAUGCAUCUAUAUACUUGGUAAAGGGUGGAAGGCUCGGCCUUAUGCCUGGUGUUUUGUUCCACUCUUGCCACCCUAGUUUCCGUCAUAUCGGUGUUAUGUUCUCGGAUUUUGCGUUCCUUACGCGGUUGGGUAUAAUGGGAACCCCUGGACAGUUCGCCUUGAAUAAAACUCCUCCAGCAAGGCCCAACAUUGGUUUUACCAUUUGCCACCUAGCCUUUUUUCCCUUGGGUUAGGCCAGCCCAAGGGUCAUCUUUAUUUUACACCCCCCGGGCCAGUGCUCCUCUGAGUGUUGGUCCAAACUGAGCGAUGUUCGGAGCUACCAGGGGCAACUCUGGGCUGGCCCACCCAACGUCUGGCUCAUCUGGUGUGCCCUAAGAACGAGAUAUGUGCAGCUCCUAUCGGGAUUUGUCAGCACAUCUAGGUGGCUUUGCUGGUCUUGUUGUACCAUUGCCGAAAUGUCUUGUAACCGGGAUUCCAAGCCUAAUCGGGUCUUCCCGCUAGAAGGAAUAUCCUUCGUUGACCGUGAGAGCUUGUGAUGGGCUAAGUUGGGACACCCCUGCAGGAUUUGAACUUUCGAAAGCCGCGCCCGUGGUUAUGGGCAUAUGGGAAUUUGUUAAUGUCCGGUUGUAGAAAACCUAAAGUUGACCUUAAUUAAAAUGCAUCAACCGCAUGUGUAACCGUGAUGGUCUCUUUCCGGCGGAGUCCGGGAAGUGAACACGGUGUUGGAGUUAUGCUUGACGUAGGUUGUUCUAGGAUCACUUCUUGAUCAUAGUUGUUCGACCAUGCUUUUGCCUUCUCUUCUCGCUCUCUUUUGCGAAUAGGUUAGCCACCAUAUAUGCUAGUCGCUUGCUGCAGCUCCACCUCAUACCUUUUACCCUUCCUAUAAGCUUAAAUAGUCUUGAUCGCGAGGGUGUGAGAUUGUUGAGUCCCCGUGACUCACAGAUACUUCCAAAACCAGUUUGCAGGUGCCGAUGAUACCGUGCAGGUGACGCAACCAAGCUCAAGGAGGAGCUCGAUGAAGAUCUUGUCCUUGGUGUUGUUUCGUUCUAGUUGAUCAGUAGUGGAGCCCAGUCGGG
Molecule: long non-coding RNA, 1574 nt
Filed under: Triticum aestivum (bread wheat)
Lineage: Eukaryota; Viridiplantae; Streptophyta; Magnoliopsida; Poales; Poaceae
Description: long non-coding RNA (TAES_LNC020447)
Source: RNAcentral